RNAcentral lists this ribosomal RNA (252 nucleotides) under uncultured Bacteroidales bacterium. RNAcentral describes it as "partial 16S ribosomal RNA". It matches the Rfam family "Bacterial small subunit ribosomal RNA", at positions 524 to 776 of the family's 1533-position model. Lineage: Bacteria; Pseudomonadati; Bacteroidota; Bacteroidia; Bacteroidales. The record is from RNAcentral.
UACGGAGGAUGCGAGCGUUAUCCGGAUUUAUUGGGUUUAAAGGGUGCGUAGGCGGCGCUUCAGGUCAGCGGUGAAAUACCGGGGCUCAACCCCGGCCCGCCGUUGAAACUGGCUGUCUUGAGAUGUCGAGAGGUAUGCGGAAUGCGCAGUGUAGCGGUGAAAUGCUUAGAUAUUGCGCAGAACUCCGAUUGCGAAGGCAGCAUACCGGCGGCGAUCUGACGCUGAGGCACGAAAGCGUGGGUAUCGAACAGG